This is a small nuclear RNA of Phodopus roborovskii (desert hamster), 104 nucleotides long. The record is from RefSeq and is a predicted model, not a curated record. NCBI's taxonomy places the organism in Eukaryota, Metazoa, Chordata, Mammalia, Rodentia, Cricetidae.
GUGAUCACUUCAGCAGCACAUAUACUAAAAUUGGAAGGAUAUAGAGAUUAGCAUGGCCCCUGCACAAAGAUAACAGGCAAAUUCAUGAAGCAGUCCAUAUUUUU